UGGGGAAUCUUCCGCAAUGGACGAAAGUCUGACGGAGCAACGCCGCGUGAGUGAAGAAGGUUUUCGGAUCGUAAAACUCUGUCUUUUGGGGCGAACGUGAGUAUGGUGAACAAUCAUAGUCAGUGACGGUACCAAAGGAGGAAGCCACGGCUAACUACGUGCCAGCAGCCGCGGUAAUACGUAGGUGGCAAGCGUUGUCCGGAAUUAUUGGGCGUAAAGAGCGCGUAGGCGGGAUAGUCAGUCUGUUGUAAAGUGCGGGGCUCAACCCCGUGAUCGCAAUGGAAACAGCUAUUCUUGAGUGCAGGAGAGGAAAGUGGAAUUCCCAGUGUAGCGGUGAAAUGCGUAGAUAUUGGGAGGAACACCAGUGGCGAAGGCGACUUUCUGGACUGUGUCUGACGCUGAGGCGCGAAAGCCGGGGGAGCGAACGGGAUUAGAUACCCCGGUAGUCCUGGCCGUAAACGAUGGGUACUAGGUGUGGGAGGUAUCGACCCCCUUUCCGUGCCGGAGUUAACGCAAUAAGUACCCCCG
This 528-nucleotide ribosomal RNA is filed under the name uncultured bacterium. RNAcentral's name for it is "partial 16S ribosomal RNA". It matches the Rfam family "Bacterial small subunit ribosomal RNA", at positions 355 to 871 of the family's 1533-position model. The record is from RNAcentral.